AAGACUAUACUUUCAGGGAUCAUUUCUAUAGUUCGUUACUUUUCUAUUCGCUCCUUAAGAUACAAAUAUAGAAGAAAAUAAGUUUCUGCCUUCAAGACUUCCAGA
Rattus norvegicus (Norway rat) is the source of this 105-nucleotide small nucleolar RNA. Ensembl annotates it as small nucleolar RNA U3. Lineage: Eukaryota; Metazoa; Chordata; Mammalia; Rodentia; Muridae. The record is from Ensembl.